RNAcentral lists this ribosomal RNA (253 nucleotides) under uncultured bacterium. RNAcentral describes it as "partial 16S ribosomal RNA". It matches the Rfam family "Bacterial small subunit ribosomal RNA", at positions 524 to 776 of the family's 1533-position model. The record is from RNAcentral.
GACGGAAGGUGCAAGCGUUGCUCGGAAUCACUGGGCGUAAAGGGUGCGUAGGCGGCUUCUUAAGUCUGGUGUGAAAGCCCAGGGCUCAGCCCUGGAAGUGCACUAGAAACUGGGAAGCUUGAGUACCGGAGGGGAGAGUGGAAUUCCUGGUGUAGCGGUGAAAUGCGUAGAUAUCAGGAGGAAUACCGGUGGCGAAAGCGACUCUCUGGACGGUUACUGACGCUGAGGCACGAAAGCGUGGGGAGCAAACAGG